Molecule: ribosomal RNA, 465 nt
Filed under: uncultured bacterium
Lineage: Bacteria
Description: bacterial SSU rRNA
Rfam family: Bacterial small subunit ribosomal RNA
Source: RNAcentral
CCUACGGGAGGCACCAGUGGGGAAUAUUGGACAAUGUGGGCAACCCUGAUCCAGCAAUACCGCGUGUGUGAAGAAGGCCUGAGGGUUGUAAAGCACUUUCAGUAGGGAGGAGGUUCGUUAGGUUAAGAGCUAGAUGAAUGGACGUUACCUACAGAAGAAGCACCGGCUAACUCCGUGCCAGCAGCCGCGGUAAUACGGAGGGUGCAAGCGUUAAUCGGAAUUACUGGGCGUAAAGCGUGCGUAGGUGGUUAGAUAAGUUAUCUGUGAAAUCCCCGGGCUCGACCUGGGCAGGUCAGAUAAUACUGUUUGACUCGAGUAUGGGAGAGGGUAGUGGAAUUUCCGGUGUAGCGGUGAAAUGCGUAGAGAUCGGAAGGAACACCAGUGGCGAAGGCGGCUACCUGGCCUAAUACUGACACUGAGGCACGAAAGCGUGGGGAGCAAACAGGAUUAGAUACCCCGGUAGUC